Molecule: long non-coding RNA, 2253 nt
Organism: Neopsephotus bourkii (Bourke's parrot)
Lineage: Eukaryota; Metazoa; Chordata; Aves; Psittaciformes; Psittacidae
Exons: 3
Source: RefSeq, a predicted model, not a curated record
UCUGUGCCCUGCCAUGACUGGGUAGAAACCUCUGCCUUCUACCAUGUGAGUCCUCUGGUUGUCAUCCCAUUUCCACAGGAGGACAAUCUGCAGAGCAUAAGGUCGCUCUCAGCUCCAGUUCAAGCGAGAGGGAUGAAGAGGAGAUGUAUGGCAGGUCUGUGCUGUGCGGUGAUCCCAGCCCAGGCUGAUGCCCGGGGCAGCUUGGCUGGCACCACUCAUGCAACGAUCACCGCUGCCAGUGCACCCCCAAGCCCAGCACUGGGGGGACUGGAUGCACAGUCAGCCGGAUCCUGCUAAAGGUGGAGACCCGUGUAAAGCGAGGCAAAACUGAGCUUCCCUCUGCAAAGCGAAGCAGCUGGUUCAACUAAUUAAAUGUUAAAAAUUCCAGCAAGACGAGCGUACCAGAAAACAAACAGGCUCGGCAGCCAGGACGGGAAGACUUGGAAAGGAUCCGCGCGCUUCCCUGCCUCUCCCAUAUGUGUCUGUGUAGACGCUGGCACCUGUGCAGCCAUGUGUUCACACGCCGUGUUUACGGGCUCCAGCGAGCGCGUUUCCAUAUGGAUCUGUGCGGGUCAGAGCUGCGGGGCUCUGCACCCCCAUGCCACUCGUGCCUGUGGUCCCCUGCGUGUCUGGCAUAGAGCUCUGUGUGUCCCUGCCGGGAGGCAGCUCCAUCACUCCUUAGGUACAUCUAACUGGAAGGGCCGGAGCUCGCUCUGCAAGCAACAAGCUCACAAUGUGUAGGAGAUAAAGAGAGGGGAUGGAGGGCAUCGGAGGAGUGACAGCGCUCGAACGCCUUGCCACUGGCAGUGGCAAGCAUCCAGCCUCAGCUAUUUGCAAGCCAGGAAUAAGCCUGCUCAGUGUCACAAGGGGUUUCCAGGACACGUUCAAGACCAGGAAGCACCAACUGACACCGGUUUACAAGGAGCACGAUGCUGUCCCCAUGCCUGCAUCCCAUCCAGGAUCCCUGUGACCUGUGCCCUGUGAAGGACAAACACCAAGGACGAGGCGUUUGAGGGGCUUCGUGCUUGGCUGCGGGGCCAGGGCAGCAUCCGGGAGCUGCAGGGCUCCCCUCCUUUGCUGUCAGGAUGCGGCCCCGGUUAGUUAUGCGCCGAUCGAGUGAGGAAAUGGGAUGCUGGGGCCGGCUCCCUGCAAGGCUCAGCCCGUGUCUCCCCGGCCCCAUAAUUUUUGUUGGGAAGUUUUAUCUUUUUAAUUUGUUACAUAUCACACAUCCUCUGAUUAAUUAUUGCUUCUCUGCAGGGAGGACUAGAGUUUAUAGAGCAAUAUAGCAUUAGUGUUAGCUUUAUACACCCUCAAAGCCCAGAGGAAGCUCGGCAGAGUACUUAUGCGAUGUUCUGUCGAUAAUAAUGACUCAGCAUUUGGCCGGCUCGGGGUGUAUCAGAAGUGCUUUAUUAAAAAGUACACAGUAUAUGCAUCGGACAUAAAUACAGGCAGGAGAGGCGAGCGUGAUGUGCUGCAUACAUAGCAGUCAGUGCCUGUGCUGGGGCCUGCCUCUGCCUGCUCCAUGGAUCCCUGGCAGUGCAGGAGUUUAAUUGCCACGGUGGCCUGGGAUGCAUUGAGCUGCUUGGCAUGUCCUUCAGCCCUGCGAAUGCAGAAACAGCCACAAUCCAAUUCCCUUUACAACCGCAUGUCUCCGCCGGCUGAGCGGGAGCCCUCUCCCUGAAGGAGCCUUCCCAUCCAGCGAACGCUCUUAAGGAGGCUGUACAAGUGAUGGGGAAGGCAUUGCGGCAGGAUAACGGCGAGGAAAUGCAGUUGAACAUUUCCAGCACUGAGUAAACCAUAUGUCUUCAUAAUUUGAUUGUGCCCCGGUCCCGCAGGUACCUCCCAGCUCUAUUGAACACCGAUGGAGUUAUUUAGAAUCAUAAAUAAUAUUAUCAAAGAGGGUCUGCUGGGUAAACAGAGCCAGUGUAUGAAUUGUCGGCGCGAGAUAUUGAUUGUUGGGAGCUGGCUAAUGAAUUAUUCUGUUUGAGGGCCGUGGAAAUGAUGCUCGGUGUUUGCAAGGCAAAGCCCCUGCAAGAACUCCCCACUGCCCUGUGGGGCUUUGUUGUCCGGGCUGCAGCAGGCAGCAAGCACGGGUCCUGGACCCCAGGCCCCUUGGUGGCGAGCAGGCGGGGGGGUCAUCUCCUCCUCCUCCUUUCUCACCUUCCCUCUUCCUUCCAUCGAUCUGUAUGCAUUGAGGGGACCCACUGCGGGAUUUGGGUGCACCAGACCCCAUGCCAGGUCCCCAAGGCUUCC